This 1518-nucleotide small RNA is filed under the name Pan troglodytes (chimpanzee). RNAcentral describes it as "retained intron". The record is from RNAcentral. Lineage: Eukaryota; Metazoa; Chordata; Mammalia; Primates; Hominidae.
AGUUAAUGCAAUCUGAAGAAAAGUUUUUUUGGGCUGGGUAUCUGGUCCUUUUUAGACUUUUUUUUUUUUUUUUAAUAGACCUUUUCUUUGGGCCACAGCCUUCCUGACCCUAGACGGGCUUUGUAAAAAGAGCAAGAGGCGUGUGUGCCAGCCUGUGCAGCAGUGAGGGCAGCAGUGAGGGCACAGGCAGCACCAGGGUCCCGGGUGUGUGGGUGCUGCCCCAGCUUGCAGUGUGGUCUCCUCGGUGCUGGCCACAGCUGUGGGUCCCCAGGAGUAUUGUGCUGCAGGUCUUAGACAGAUUUGGGUACUACUGGUUCUCUGUUCAGCGUGGCCUGGACAGUCCACAGAUGGCAGUAGACCAUGGGGUGUUGAGAUGCAAGGAGACGCUGCCGUUCUUUCACAUUCUGCUUUCGCUCCUGACAGCUUAGGAAAGCUCUCUUUGAAACUUUGGUAUGUGUGGACCUAAGAUUGAAUGUAUCUGAAAGGUUGCUAAUUUCUCACUGUCCUUGCUUCCCAGGACGCCAGGAAAGCAUGUGCAGAUGCAACUCUCUCUCAGGUAAGAGCCCACUGAGUCACGCAGAGCCAUCUGCCUGUGAGGAGGCUAGCACGGCACCCACACCUGGAGCCUCGGGAGGGCUCUGCUUGCAUUCUCUGUUGCGCAGUGAGGAUGCCAAGCCACUGCUUUGAUUAAGAAGUCAUUCUGAUGAUCACAAACAACAUCGACCCAGUGGGAAGAAUCCAAAUGCGCACGAGGAGGACACUGCGGGGGCACCUGGCCAAGAUCUACGCCAUGCACUGGGGCACAGACUCCAGGCUUCUCGUCAGUGCCUCGCAGGAUGGUAAACUUAUCAUCUGGGACAGCUACACCACCAACAAGGUCCACGCCAUCCCUCUGCGCUCCUCCUGGGUCAUGACCUGUGCAUAUGCCCCUUCUGGGAACUAUGUGGCCUGCGGUGGCCUGGAUAACAUUUGCUCCAUUUACAAUCUGAAAACUCGUGAGGGGAACGUGCGCGUGAGUCGUGAGCUGGCAGGACACACAGGUUACCUGUCCUGCUGCCGAUUCCUGGAUGACAAUCAGAUCGUCACCAGCUCUGGAGACACCACAUGUGCCCUGUGGGACAUCGAGACCGGCCAGCAGACGACCACGUUUACCGGACACACUGGAGAUGUCAUGAGCCUUUCUCUUGCUCCUGACACCAGACUGUUCGUCUCUGGUGCUUGUGAUGCUUCAGCCAAACUCUGGGAUGUGCGAGAAGGCAUGUGCCGGCAGACCUUCACCGGCCACGAGUCUGACAUCAAUGCCAUUUGCUUCUUUCCAAAUGGCAAUGCAUUUGCCACUGGCUCAGACGACGCCACCUGCAGGCUGUUUGACCUUCGUGCUGACCAGGAGCUCAUGACUUACUCCCAUGACAACAUCAUCUGCGGGAUCACCUCUGUCUCCUUCUCCAAGAGCGGGCGCCUCCUCCUUGCUGGGUACGACGACUUCAACUGCAACGUCUGGGACGCACUCAAAGCCGA